Molecule: ribosomal RNA, 95 nt
Filed under: uncultured bacterium
Lineage: Bacteria
Description: partial 16S ribosomal RNA
Rfam family: Bacterial small subunit ribosomal RNA
Source: RNAcentral
CACCGCCCGUCACAUCAUGAAAGCCGUUUGUACCCGAAGUCCUCGUGCUAACCGCAAGGAGGCAGAGGCCGAAGGUAUGGAUGGUGAUUGGGAUG